This is an RNA transcript of Cyanistes caeruleus (blue tit), 400 nucleotides long. RefSeq lists it as uncharacterized. The record is from RefSeq and is a predicted model, not a curated record. Lineage: Eukaryota; Metazoa; Chordata; Aves; Passeriformes; Paridae.
ACGUCAAAUGUUCCUUUGGCACUGGCAAGUGUCUCCUCAGAACACUAAAAAUGGCAACAGUGGCUCCCUUGUCGUCAUGAGGAUAUAUCAACUCUAGGACCCCAGAGCUGGAUGCAGCAGUCCGAGUGGUGUCCUACAAGAUUGGGGUAGAGGGGCAAAUCACUUCUCUCAGUGAGAACAGAUUGAGAAAAUUGGGAUUGCUCAGCCUGGAAAAGAGGAAGUUUUGGGGUGACCUAAUUGAUGCCUUCCACCAACUGAAAGGAACUUAUAGGACUGAUGGGUCUAAUUGAAAGAAAUUGGAUUCCUUGGAUUCUUUGCAGAAGGUGGUUGCUCUGAGUACAUGCUUCAAGACAUUGACAUUUUCCUGUAUUAUGUUCAGGAUGGGAAUCACUGCCUAAGU